CGCCCUGAGAGACAUCCAUCGAGGGCUUUUGUAGUUUGUGCCUCCCUUUCUCUAUCUGCUCUGUUUGCUGUAUUUAUAUACUCUUUAUCUCUUGCCAAAAGAGGAAGGAGAACUUUGGCUAGGGUUAGGGUUUUCAUUUUUGUUUCUAGUUUCCCAAUUUUUGAGCUUUAAUGGAAGAGAUUACAGAGGGAGUUAACAACAUCAACUUGACUGGCGAUUUACACAAGAAAAAUCGUAUUCAAGUCUCCAACACCAAGAAGCCUUUGUUCUUCUAUGUCAAUCUCGCCAAGAGAUACAUGCAGCAGCACAACGAGGUGGAACUGUCUGCACUUGGAAUGGCUAUUGCUACAGUUGUCACUGUUGCAGAAAUUCUGAAAAACAAUGGAUUGGCGGUUGAAAAGAAGAUCAUGACUUCAACAGUUGAUAUGAGAGAUGAAUCAAGAGGGCGGCCUGUCCAAAAAGCCAAGGUAACUAAUAAGUGUAUGUUUAACACUUUGGAUAUCUAGUGUAACUAUUUUACCUUGAUAUUCAUGCAGAACAGUAUCUUGCUGCACGAAGUCCCUUUAAUGUAUUCUUAUAAUAUUGGCAAUUCUGAACUACGCACUAUAUUAUUUCUUAUUCUAUUUCCCAUCUAUUAUUUAGGGGACUUGGGCUUCUUCAUCUGUUGGACCGCUUCAUUACUUUGGAUUUCUGCUUUUUGAACCUUUGUAUUAAAUCCUACUUGUUUCAGCUUGAAAUAAUGCUCUGUGGUGAAUUUUUUUGUGGUCAAAUUUCAUCUAGUGACUAUGAUGAAUAUCUUUUGUGUUUCUUUCUCAGAUCGAGAUAUUGCUGGGGAAGACUGAAAACUUUGAUGAAUUGAUGGCAGCUGCUGCUGAAGAAAGAGACAUUGUAGAUGGUGAAGAGCAGAGUUGAAAAUGGGAUGCUCCUUAUUAUCUGAGGGUCUGUUUUCGAUGAAUUAUUAGCCAAGAACACUUUUAAUAAGUCAAUUUCUUAGAUUCUAGGUGCCUGAGGUGAUGUGAAAAUUUUUUAUGCUAGAAGCAUAGAAACAAAAUAUGUCUGCUAUCCAAGAUUCAAUUUUGAUGCCUAACAUUUUUGGUUUUGAUUGAUUUUGCUACAAGACAGUGUUGCUUCAUAUGUGCUCAUGACAAAUCACUAUUGAUCUAACCUUAUUUGGCAGCUGUGUGAUUUAACUAGGCCUUGAGAAUUUAUGUCUUUGCUUAGAAGGUUCCACUAAUCUUCCUUUUGCUAAUCCACUAAUUGGUGGGCCACAUGCAAAGCUUUGAUCUUGCUUGUGGUUUCGGAUUUGUUUCCUGGGAUUGAUUGUGUUGUGCACAAUGUACCAGUGUCUAAUGCAGAAUGUUCUAAACCACAAUCGCCAGAUGAUCUCUUUGAUUGUCCACCUAUGACCAAAAGAAAUUUCUAAAUAAUGAAAAGGAAUUCUGUCUUUCACAGUCGAAUUGAGGGUAAAAUAUGUUGAGUUUAGCAUUCAAAGACCAUUUAAAGAAUACAAUCAA
RNAcentral lists this unclassified non-coding RNA (1514 nucleotides) under Hevea brasiliensis (rubber tree). Lineage: Eukaryota; Viridiplantae; Streptophyta; Magnoliopsida; Malpighiales; Euphorbiaceae. The record is from RNAcentral.